This 465-nucleotide ribosomal RNA is filed under the name uncultured bacterium. RNAcentral describes it as "bacterial SSU rRNA". It matches the Rfam family "Bacterial small subunit ribosomal RNA", at positions 338 to 795 of the family's 1533-position model. The record is from RNAcentral.
CCUACGGGGCGCACCAGUGGGGAAUAUUGCACAAUGGGCACAAGCCUGAUGCAGCCAUGCCGCGUGUGUGAAGAAAGCCUUCGGGUUGUAAAGCACUUUCAGCGGGGAGGAAGGCGUUAAGGUUAAUAACCUUGGUGAUUGACGUUACUCGCAGAAGAAGCACCGGCUAACUCCGUGCCAGCAGCCGCGGUAAUACGGAGGGUGCAAGCGUUAAUCGGAAUUACUGGGCGUAAAGCGCACGCAGGCGGUCUGUCAAGUCGGAUGUGAAAUCCCCGGGCUCAACCUGGGAACUGCAUUCGAAACUGGCAGGCUAGAGUCUUGUAGAGGGGGGUAGAAUUCCAGGUGUAGCGGUGAAAUGCGUAGAGAUCUGGAGGAAUACCGGUGGCGAAGGCGGCCCCCUGGACAAAGACUGACGCUCAGGUGCGAAAGCGUGGGGAGCAAACAGGAUUAGAUACCCCGGUAGUC